AUUGAACGCUGGCGGCAGGCCUAACACAUGCAAGUCGAGCGGUAAAGAGAAGCUUGCUUCUCUUGUGAGCGGCGGACGGGUGAGUAACACGUGGGUAACCUACCUAUAAGACUGGGAUAACUCCGGGAAACCGGGGCUAAUACCGGAUAAUAUUUUGAACCGCAUGGUUCAAUAGUGAAAGACGGUUUCGGCUGUCACUUAUAGAUGGACCCGCGCCGUAUUAGCUAGUUGGUAAGGUAAUGGCUUACCAAGGCGACGAUACGUAGCCGACCUGAGAGGGUGAUCGGCCACACUGGAACUGAGACACGGUCCAGACUCCUACGGGAGGCAGCAGUAGGGAAUCUUCCGCAAUGGGCGAAAGCCUGACGGAGCAACGCCGCGUGAGUGAUGAAGGUCUUCGGAUCGUAAAACUCUGUUGUUAGGGAAGAACAAAUUUGUUAGUAACUGAACAAGUCUUGACGGUACCUAACCAGAAAGCCACGGCUAACUACGUGCCAGCAGCCGCAGUAAAAC
Molecule: ribosomal RNA, 513 nt
Filed under: uncultured bacterium
Lineage: Bacteria
Description: bacterial SSU rRNA
Rfam family: Bacterial small subunit ribosomal RNA
Source: RNAcentral